This 333-nucleotide unclassified non-coding RNA is filed under the name fungal sp. RNAcentral's name for it is "partial internal transcribed spacer region". Lineage: Eukaryota; Fungi. The record is from RNAcentral.
AAGUCGUAACAAGGUUUCCGUAGGUGAACCUGCGGAAACUUAACACGUAUCCAGUGAACCUUCAGUGUACUCGUACGUCCGUUAAUUCAGGACGUCUGCAAGGAGCGUGCAUGUUGUGCGAAGCAAGUGGCCUGGCAUCCCCAAGCAGUUAGUGUCUGAAAGUGUCAUUAACUGUGUAAGGAUGACGCAGUCACGAUCGUUGGAGGCCCACACGGCCGACGACCGGGUCACUGGGCGCAAGCCCCCCUAUAACAAACGCUGCUAAUCGCGGCCGCGAUAAUACGCAGUCGACCAAAAACCGAACAACUGUUAACAAUGGAUAUCUUGGUUCUC